This is a long non-coding RNA of Canis lupus familiaris (dog), 4382 nucleotides long. RefSeq lists it as uncharacterized. NCBI's taxonomy places the organism in Eukaryota, Metazoa, Chordata, Mammalia, Carnivora, Canidae. The transcript has 3 exons. The record is from RefSeq and is a predicted model, not a curated record.
GAGUUUAUCACUCUCUGGCUGUAAGCCAUCCAAUGUUAUCAGGAGCAACUACCCAUUGAUUUUUUCGUAUCCGCCGUACUGUGUUCAUGGUGGUGACACAUGGCCUGCCGGAGACUCCUCGAUGGAUCCUGGAACCCGGAUGUCCCAGGCAAUCAUUUCAUUCAUUAGCUAAUCAUUGCAAGCCAUGGGCCACUAGAUCACUGUCCCAGAAAAAAUAAGGGGACAUUCAAUUCCCUCCACACUAUCUCAGAUUGAGAUUGUCUCCAAUUCCCCACAUUUUCUUGAAGACUUAUUAUUUAAAACUCCACUUUCCGAUACAAACCUCUGAGCAGUCUGGUUCAGAAGAGACUGGGUGGAUUCAGAUCCUGGCUCUGCCAUGCAUUAGCCCCUUUGAGCAAUCUCUCUGCGCUUGAGUUGUGCUCCUUUGGAACCCAGGACAGUAGUGGCCACGUCAGUGGGCCUCAUGAGGAGAGGGAGUUGGGAGGUGUCAAUGCUAAGAACAGGGCUCGGCAUUGUGAACGUGCUCAAUAAUUGUUAGCUCAUUGCUAUGAAAAUAACGAUGAUUACUAUUACUAGUAUAUUAUCAGCCAAAAUUCUUGUACAUAAGUGAAAGAACCCAAAUUUGGACAUCUCAAGCGAAGCAAGAGAAAUUACUGGAAUAUCUGGUAUCCCGGAACGGAUGGGAGCGGGGAGGACCAGGCCUGAGAAGCAUGAAAGGACAGGAGAGGUCCUGAGGGCUGGGCCACCACAGCCACAGGCAGACAGGGCAGGGGGCGUCCGGUCCAUGCACCACCACGGCUGCUGCAAAAGGCAGACGCGAGCAGCUCCAGGUCCCUUUGUCAAGACUGAAGUUGCAAACCACUCCUUAAGCUAAACCUGUCACAUGCUUCUGGGCACCGACUGCCAUGGAGGCUACACAAUGGGAGUUCCCCCCACCGGGAGUUGGGGUGCUAUUAGGAAAGAGGAGUUAGAUACUGAAGAGCCCAAGGAUGACAAGUACUGAACUGGUUGGGUAGCAUUAGUGUCACCGGCGCAAAUGAUCAGCAGCCCAUGGGUAUGACAUGGGACCAACAGGAAGUUCCCUCUUUUGAGUCUGAAAUGCACUUGUCAAAGAAAGGAGGUUUUCAGCUUUUCUGAACAUUUGAGGUGGCCUUCAGAUCACACCAUCUACACCAGGAAAGUCUCCCAAAGAGAUGUAACCAUCAUACCAGCUCACUCAACUCCGCACAUCUCCUCUCCAGCCUCUCUCCACUUCUAGGUCAGGACCCCAGCUUCCUCCCUGCAGCUCUAGGAGGGGGAGGGACCCCCAAGAAACAGAAAGGCCAGGGGUGCCUUCAGGGAGGGGGGAGGCCUUAGUUCAUCUUGGACGGCUGGUCUACCACUGCGACGAGGAUGGGCUGGGCCAGGCCAGCAGGACUUCUCUGUCUCUCUGGAAGUUUCCUCGUGAGGAUACGGAGGGAGGAAGAUUGAGUGGGAGGCUACGUCCAGCGUGUAGGCCCUUAGUUGCCGAGCCAAGAUUUGAAAUUUAAUCUACAUAUAAACUUAAAACAGGAUCAGACUCACAGCUCUGACUGGAGGCCCCCUGGGGUACAACCAGGGCCUCCCUGCAUUCCCUGCACCACUUCAGCACUGGAGGCUCUUACAACAGAGCAGAAGGACAGGAGCCUGGCGCUGGAUUUAUAUUGGACUUUCUGCUAAACUUGGCAGGUGGGAACCUUUCCGUCAAGUUAGGAAAACAAGAAAGAUGACAUUUCUUUCAUCUUUUUUUUUUAAGAUUUUAUUUAAGAGAAAGAGAGAGAGAGAGAGGCAGCGACACAGGCAGAGGGAGAAGCAAGCUCCCUGCGAGGAGCCUGACGCGGGACUUGAUCCCGGGUCCCCAGGACCAGGUGCUAAACCGCUGAGCCACCCGGGCUGCCCAAAAGAUGACAUUUCUUGAGUAGCUGAUGGUCUGGAGCAGUUCCUGUCUCAUCAGACAAUACAAACAACUAUUGCCUGAGCACUUCGCACGUGGGAGGCAUAACGCCAGCUACUUAUGAGCAUCAUGGGGGCCCCUCAUUCUCACAAGCCCCGUCUGGGCUGAGUGCCGUAAACAUUCCAGUUUGUAGUUGAAUCAACAGAGGCUCAGAAAGGCUACGGAACCCUCUCAAACCCACACCGCCGGGUGUGAGUGAGGGAGCCUCAUGGAUUUUCAAAGUCUAUACCCUCAACUAUUCACUAAAGUCAGUGUUGACGGGUCUAAAAGUCGUGGCAAAGAUACACAAGAGUGUUUUCUCCUCUACACCUAAUAAUAUUCAUAAUCUCCCAUGUUCACGCUUACGUAGUGCCUGGGAACGCUCUGUGGUUUUACAGAAUAAUCGUGUCCUCCUGGGGUCUUCUUAUCUGUGAUAUAAACCGUUUCCUCCUUCUUUGAAGAUUUAACAUCAACACAGAGAAGAAUGACAAUUUAGGGCAGUGUGAGGAUGGUUCCAGUUACAUUUUAACGUAUCCUUUUUUUUAACUUCGGUAUCACCCUCCUAACAGGACCGAUGCCUUUGUCCAACACACCCCACAGCAUCUGCCUCUCCCCUCUCCCCUUUGCAAUCAUUCAGCUUCUUCACACCCAGAACAGCCACACUCGGAGAGAGCCGCAUCCCUGCAUUUGUGCGUGAACCCAACUGCCAUCUCUUGAGGAGACAACCAUUUCUCACCGGUCUUAACGACCACUACAAGGCCACCUGACCUGUUUUAAAGGCCACACAUGGGACGGAAAUCAAUCACCUUCUCUGGAAUGGAGAAUGUGGAAUGGAAGGCCUUGGGGUUCUACGGUGUGGUCGGCCUACUGAUGCUUUUGUAGAGAACACAGACCAGGUGUUUUCAUUUAUGAAUGACUACACGUGAUCUUCAGAAGCCCAAGCAGUAUCAUCCAACCCGCACGCUGGCACCAGGAUCAUUCCCCUGGCCCCGAGGGCCGCCGCGGCCACAGGGCGGGCCCCCGACCCCAAGCAGGUGAAGGCUUCGGGAAGACAUGGAGCUUGAGGGCCCCGGCCAGCCCUCGGCCCACCCUCCAGGCUCCAGACAAGACCCCGUCACUUGCCCUCAGAUCCCCAGCCUGCCCAGUGGGUUCCGGGCGCGGCGACUCCCCCGGCUCCAAGAGCCGGCUCCCUAGAGGGGACAAUUUGGAAAAGGAAGGGACAGCCCAAGACAAGCCCAUGCGACCAAAACAAAUCCUUGAAUUGCAACUGUCAAAUUUAGGCUCCAGAGACUUCCACAUGCGCAGGUGUUCAGAAGAUAAACCACACUGGUCUAGCGAUCUCCGUGAAAGCCCCGGCACUCAAGCAAGCACGUUGGCAUUUAAACUUGAAACUGUUUAAAAUUAUAAAACUAAUUCGUUAACAUUCCAAACCCAGGUUUUUAAAAAGCACACCCCCCAUUGGGUUUGUCUGGCGUUCAAUAAAGUACGUUUCUGCUGAGAUAGAAGAGGAGAGAAACCCCUGACCCAGUUAAGCUCAGGCACAACUAAUCUUGCAAAUUGAUCAAAAAACUGCUUCGUAAAAAUUCCCUUGUUGAAGUGUCUCGGGAAUAACUUAGUAAGAAUUUAAAAGAUCCCAGGGUAAAUCAGGACAGAGAACUGGUUUUCCAACAUGACACACACACAAAAAGGCUGUGUCUUUCACUUCAUUAGAGAGGCAAUUUUAUUUUAACGUGACAUUUUUUAAAGGCUAUGUUGUCUCAUUUUCUGUGUGUCACCCUACGUUUCUGCCACACCUACACCCUCUCGUGCAAAAUGCUUCUAAAUUUGGCAAACUCAGCUUUACCUCCCUUUUACAUUGCAGCUGACGUUGUUGAGUUGUGGUUGUUUAAUUAUAGUUAACCAAUAGAAUACACAAUGCAGAAGAAAAGAUUAAUAAUAAAGCAAAAAUUUUUUUAAAUGAAAAGUCUCUGAUAAAGGACUGUUUUCCAAAAUAUACAAGGAAUUAUUAAAACUCAACAAUAAGAACACUAACAACCCAAUUUACAGCUGGGCAAAAAAUGUCGAACAGACCCUUCACCAAAGACAGAAUUUCAUAAAUAAGCACAUGAAAACACAUACACCUUGCAUUUCAUCUGGGAAAUACAAAUUUUAAAAAACAAGAAGAUAUCACCACACACCUAUUAAAAUGCCCACAAUCUGGAGCACAAAGGGCUGGCAAGGAUGUGGAGCAACAGGGGGGACUGCAAAAUGGGGCAGCCACGUUGGAGGACAUUUUGGCAGUUUCUUACAAAACUCAGAUACUCUUACCAUUCGAUCCAGUAAUCAUGCUCUUUGGUAUUUACCCAAAUUAAUUGAAAACAUGACCAUACAAAAACCUGCAUAUGAAUAUUUAUAACAGUUUUAUUCAUAAUUGCCAAAACUUGGAAGCAAC